GCGCCCCAAGUCAUACACUUUUAAUAAAACACUUUUUAAAGCACAGUGAAGAUUGAACAUCCUUGCUCCCUGGAGUUUGGUGAAUUAGAACUUGUUCUGGCAAUUAGUUAUGAAUGGAAUUAAUCAGAAAAAUUAAAAGCAAAUGUGAAACAUUCCUAUACUCUUUCCUUCUGGAAUGGAUGCAAAUCUCUUGGGUCAGUAAGAGCCCUUAGUGACAUGAAAGAGGAGAAAUAAAUCUUUAUUGUAUUGA
Long non-coding RNA from Suricata suricatta (meerkat), 250 nucleotides. RefSeq lists it as uncharacterized. The transcript is spliced from 2 exons. The record is from RefSeq and is a predicted model, not a curated record. Lineage: Eukaryota; Metazoa; Chordata; Mammalia; Carnivora; Herpestidae.